Molecule: ribosomal RNA, 835 nt
Filed under: uncultured bacterium
Lineage: Bacteria
Description: bacterial SSU rRNA
Rfam family: Bacterial small subunit ribosomal RNA
Source: RNAcentral
GGACGAUAAUGACGGUACUUUAGGAGGAAGCUCCGGCUAACUACGUGCCAGCAGCCGCGGUAAUACGUAGGGAGCGAGCGUUGUCCGGAAUUACUGGGUGUAAAGGGAGCGUAGGCGGGACUGCAAGUCAGAUGUGAAAUGCCGGGGCUUAACCCCGGAGCUGCAUUUGAAACUGUGGUUCUUGAGUGAAGUAGAGGCAAGCGGAAUUCCUGGUGUAGCGGUGAAAUGCGUAGAUAUCAGGAGGAACACCGGUGGCGAAGGCGGCUUGCUGGGCUUUUACUGACGCUGAGGCUCGAAAGCGUGGGUAGCAAACAGGAUUAGAUACCCUGGUAGUCCACGCUGUAAACGAUGAUUACUAGGUGUGGGGGGACUGACCCCUUCCGUGCCGCAGUUAACACAAUAAGUAAUCCACCUGGGGAGUACGGCCGCAAGGUUGAAACUCAAAGGAAUUGACGGGGGCCCGCACAAGCAGUGGAGUAUGUGGUUUAAUUCGAAGCAACGCGAAGAACCUUACCAGGUCUUGACAUCGUAUGCAUAAUCUAGAGAUAGAUGAAACCUCUUCGGAGGCAUAUAGACAGGUGGUGCAUGGUUGUCGUCAGCUCGUGUCGUGAGAUGUUGGGUUAAGUCCCGCAACGAGCGCAACCCUUACCUUUAGUUGCUACGCAAGAGCACUCUAAAGGGACUGCCGUUGACAAAACGGAGGAAGGUGGGGAUGACGUCAAAUCAUCAUGCCCCUUAUGACCUGGGCUACACACGUACUACAAUGGCAAUCAACAAAGAGAAGCAAGACAGUGAUGUGGAGCGAAUCUCAAAAAAUUGUCCCAGUUCGCAUUGC